UCACUACAACAAAAACGGUCUAUAGCGACACUUUUAAAUGUCGGUACAGGUCAAAAAAAGUACUGCUGACUAAAUUACCGACACUUUUAAAAAGUGUUGCUAUAUGUGGGAUCACUAGGUAUAUAGUGACGGUUAAAGAGUGUCGCUAUAACCUAAAAAAGUGCUGCUAAUUUACAAACAUUUAUUUAAGCAUUUAGCAACCGCCGGAACUCUAUCUCGUUGGCUGCGGUGGCGGAGGAGGACAAGAGGAAAGGAUCUUCGUCUAGGAUUUCAGUCGAUUGAGUGAGGAGAGAAGGGGAAAUGGUAAUCGAUUUUUCUUUUCUUUUUCUUUUCUGCUUGUAAUCGGGCCGAAUGAGCUGAGUGGGGUGGGUUGAGUAGAGUAAUCUUUUAUUUUUGGUUGGAUUAGACUUUAUAUUUAGGCAUUAGUA
RNAcentral lists this long non-coding RNA (428 nucleotides) under Ananas comosus (pineapple). RNAcentral describes it as "long non-coding RNA (ACOM_LNC023202)". Lineage: Eukaryota; Viridiplantae; Streptophyta; Magnoliopsida; Poales; Bromeliaceae. The record is from RNAcentral.